AGUGAACGCUGGCGGCGUGCUUAACACAUGCAAGUCGAACGCGAAAGGGGAGCAAUCCCCGAGUAGAGUGGCGAACGGGUGAGUAAUGUGUGGGUAAUUUGCCUUUCAGCGGGGGAUAACUCGGGGAAACCUGAGCUAAUACCCCAUAAUGUUGCUUGAUCUUCGGGUCGAGUAAUCAAACGAUGGCCUCUGCUUGCAAGCCUAUCGCUGAAAGAUGAGCCCACANCCUAUCACGCUUGUUGGUGGGGUAAUGGCCUACCGAGGCGACGACGGGUAGCCGGCCUGAGAGGGUGUACGGCCACACUGGAACUGAGACACGGUCCAGACUCCUACGGGAGGCAGCAGUGGGGAAUUUUUCGCAAUGGGCGAAAGCCUUGACGAAGCAACGCCGCGUGUAGGAUGAA
This 404-nucleotide ribosomal RNA is filed under the name uncultured bacterium. RNAcentral describes it as "bacterial SSU rRNA". It matches the Rfam family "Bacterial small subunit ribosomal RNA", at positions 29 to 412 of the family's 1533-position model. The record is from RNAcentral.